RNAcentral lists this ribosomal RNA (254 nucleotides) under uncultured bacterium. Its description in RNAcentral is "partial 16S ribosomal RNA". It matches the Rfam family "Bacterial small subunit ribosomal RNA", at positions 524 to 776 of the family's 1533-position model. The record is from RNAcentral.
UACGUAGGGGCCGAGCGUUGUCCGGAGUUACUGGGCGUAAAGCGCGCGCAGGCGGCUCGUCAAGCCUGACGUGAAAGCCCCCGGCUCAACCGGGGAGGGUCGUCGGGGACUGGCGGGCUUGAGGUCGGCAGGGGUUGGUGGAAUUCCCGGUGUAGUGGUGAAAUGCGUAGAGAUCGGGAGGAACACCCGUGGCGAAGGCAGGUCUCUGGGCAUUAACUGACGCUGAGGAGCGAAAGCAUGGGGGAGCGAACAGG